RNAcentral lists this non-coding RNA (166 nucleotides) under Ricinus communis (castor bean). RNAcentral describes it as "Bacterial large subunit ribosomal RNA". It matches the Rfam family "Bacterial large subunit ribosomal RNA", at positions 1316 to 1479 of the family's 2925-position model. Lineage: Eukaryota; Viridiplantae; Streptophyta; Magnoliopsida; Malpighiales; Euphorbiaceae. The record is from Rfam by way of RNAcentral.
CAUUAGUGAGAAUCGAAUGCCUCGAAAACCUAAGGGUUCCUCCACAAGGUUCGUCCACGGAGGGUGAGUCAGGGCCUAAGAUCAGGCCGAAAGGCGUAGUCGAUGGACAACAAGUGAAUAGCCGCUAGUAGAAAACUGAAAUAACUAGUUAUAGUAAGCAUAGAGA